This is a long non-coding RNA of Bos indicus x Bos taurus (hybrid cattle), 5557 nucleotides long. Ensembl annotates it as pleckstrin and Sec7 domain containing 4. The record is from Ensembl. Lineage: Eukaryota; Metazoa; Chordata; Mammalia; Artiodactyla; Bovidae.
CGCCGCCGUCAGACCAGUCGGACGGCUUCGCCCGCCCCGCCCCGCGCCGCCGGUUCUGCCGCCGCCCUAGUCUCCGCGCCGGAAACCCAGUGCCUCCCGCGAGCCGCGCGCCAGAGCUGGACCGGCCCGGCCCCCGGCGCAGCAGCCGCCCCGCAGCCCCCAAGCCCGCGCCUGGGCUCCGGGCCAUGCGGCGCCCGGGCGGGCGGGCGGCCGGAGCAGGAGCCCCGCGGGACUCGGGUCUUGGACUGCACAGAGCCGUGAUGCAAUGUCCACAGACAGGGUAGAGACCCUGUGAGUCCAGGAAGCAGAGAAUCCUAGAUUCCAGGGUGCCCAGGGUGUGAUGCAGAAAGGCCAGGGUACAUGUGGGGUCCCGGUCGCCCCUCUGGCCAUCACUCCCUCUAAUCCACACAAUGGGCUUGUGAAGGCGGAUGUUCCUGAAGGCUCUAACGCAGCUUACGCUCAUUGGAUAAUGGGCGACGACAGACUCUGUGGCCACCCCAGACCCGUGGAAACCCUCGACAUCUGUUUGGGAGACAACCUGCAACCCCACUCGGAAGCCCACCUAGGGGAGACCUGUAGCCACCCUGAGCCUCUCGAACCUCACGGGGAGCAGACGUGGGCCUCUGACCCUCCUGAUGCUGUGAGGCCUGAUGUUUGUCCCCAGGGCUCCAGCCCAGAGCCCAUGCACCUGGGGAGCGGCUCUUCCCAGGAACGGGCAGGACAGAAAACCACCUCCCCCGGGUCUCCCAGGGACAACCAGCCUCUGGGGAGCCCAGGGCAGAGCCAGAGCACGUCCACGCAGGUGGUGUUCUGGGCAGGGAUCCUGCAGGCCCAGAUGUGCGUGCUAGACCUGGAGGAGGAGCUGGAGAAGACAGAAGGGCUCAGAGCUGAGUUGAGAUGCUGCAUUCCCACGGCCCCUGCCGACCUCCCCACUUUUCCCUCCAGCCCAGUUGGCCCCCGGAACUCGGGCCUCCUCCCCAGCCCACCCCCGGAUGCAAAUGAGGCCUCGGAGGACGAUAGCAGUGGGCCAGAAGGGGAGCCCCAGAAGCCAGCAUGGCCGAGGGAGGGCACGCUGGACUUGUCUCCUGAGUGGAGUGCCGAGGAGGAAAGCAUCUUCUUUGACAACCCGCUUUUCCUGGAGAGCCCUUGCUCGGACACUAGUGCAUCUGAAACGCACUUUUCCUGGGGCUUCUCGGACUCCUAUGUAGAUGUGAGGACUGGGUCCCAGAGCCCACAGACCCUGGAGCCUCCACCCUCAGAAGGCAGAGUGCCCUGGGAGCUGGGCGGUGAGCCGGAUUUGGGGGAGAGCACAGCAGAGUCCAGCGGGCACACCACCCCUCCAUUCCCUGUGCCCACCUACAGGCCACACUCUUUCUCCUGGGUCAUGGUGGACACCCCCGAGGGGGCUCCCGCAGCACCUUCCAGCCAGGAGGAGACUGAGAGUUCUCUGAGAGACAGCCUUGACCCUGCCUUGCCCGCAGCAUCCUGUGUGGACAAAACACUGAGCUGGGAGACAGAACAUGUGGAAUAUAACGGCAGCCCCGCCACACAUCCAGUGCAACCUUGGGUUGGGCCCAGCACCCAGGGCUGGCCAACCAAGGUCAUUCCUUCCUGGCCCACAGGGCCUCUUAGCUCCCAGGACAGAGGUGACAAGGAUACAGAGUGUGUCCAGGAGUCUGCUCCCUGCACCGUGACCCCUGGCCACCCCUGGGGGAGCCCAGCCUCUUCGCCGGAGCCCAGCAGCCCUGAGUCUGGGGUCAGAGGCCCCAACUCCCUGCCCAGCCCCGUCUCCUCCCGGGAAGGCAGCCUGCGGCUGCAGGGCCACCCCCCAGGCAGUGUUCUUCCCGAGUGGACACUAGAUGCUCCAAGCCCUUCAUUCCUGGAGACAGAUGGGGCAGAGCCAGGUUCCCUGGAAAAAGAGGAGGCAGGAGAGGCCCCAACCCAAGGGAAGGAAGUAAAGUUAAGCCCCGCCAGGACUGCGGAGGCCGGAGCCAGCCAGCCUGACGCUUGCCUGACUUCUGCAAAAACGCUUCCUGGGAGCCCUAUGCCCCAAGUGCAACCCCCAGAGGAAGGCCAGAGGCUCCCGGCUGGAGACAAGCUGGCGAAUGGCGUCAGGACUGACAAGGUGGCCUGGAACUUGGCCUCUCGCCUCUAUCACCUGGAGGGCUUCCGGAAGUCUGAAGUGGCUGCCUACCUGAGGAAGAACAAUGACUUUAGCAGGGCCGUGGCUGAGGCGUACCUGUCCUUCUUCCAGUUCGGAGGCCAGAGCCUGGACCGUGCACUCCGGGGCUUCCUCCAGGCCCUGGUGCUCAGUGGGGAGACCCAGGAACGAGAGCGGAUCCUCUACCAGUUCUCCAAGCGCUUCCAUCACUGCAACCCCGGGCUUUUCUCCUCAGUAGAUUGCGUGCACACCUUGACCUGCGCCAUCAUGCUCCUUAACACGGACCUGCAUGGACAGAACAUUGGGAAGAGCAUGAGCUGCCAGGAAUUCAUAACCAACCUGAAUGGCCUGCGGGACGGCGGGAACUUCCCCAAAGAACUGCUCAAGGCCCUCUACUGGUCUAUCCGAAGUGAGAAGCUCGAGUGGGCCGUGGAUGAAGAAGACACAGCCAGGCCCGAGAAGGCCCAGCCGUCUCCCCCAGCUGGCAAGAUGAGCAACCCUUUCCUCCAGCUGGCCCAGGACCCCACGGUGCCCACCUACAAGCAGGGCUUCCUGGCCCGGAAGAUGCACCAGGAUGCGGAUGGCAAGAAGACGCCAUGGGGUAAGCGUGGCUGGAAGAUGCUCCACACCUUACUUCGAGGGAUGGUCCUCUACUUCCUGAAGGGAGAGGACCACGCCCUUGAUGGGGAGAGUUUGGUGGGGCAGAUGGUGGAUGAGCCGGUGGGGGUGCACCACUCACUGGCCACCCCUGCCACCCACUACACCAAGAAGCCACAUGUCUUCCAGCUGCGCACGGCCGACUGGCGCCUCUACCUCUUCCAGGCACCCACUGCCCAGGAGAUGACUUCCUGGAUCGCGCGCAUCAAUCUAGCUGCCGCCACGCACUCAGCUCCGCCUUUCCCUGCCGCGGUGGGCUCCCAGCGCAAAUUCGUCCGUCCCAUCCUGCCCGUGGGCCCAACCCAGGGCUCCCUGGAGGAGCAGCAUCGAUCCCACGAGAACUGCCUGGACGCUGCCUCUGACGACCUGCUGGAUCUGCAGAGGAACUUACCCGAGCGGCGAGGCCGCAGCCGCGAGCUGGAAGACUACCGCUUGCGGAAGGAGUACCUGGAGUACGAGAAAACCCGCUAUGAGACCUACCUACAGCUGCUUGUGGCCCGUCUACACUGCCCGUCGGAAGACCUGGACCUGUGGGAGGAGCAGCUGGGGAGGGAGGCUGGAGGCCUGCAGGAGCCCAAGCCCAGCCUGAAGAAGUCCCACUCCAGCCCGUCGCUGCACCAGGAUGAGGCCCCCACCACGGCCAAGGUCAAGCGCAACAUCUCAGAGCGCAGAACCUACCGGAAGAUCAUCCCCAAACGGAACCGCAAUCAACUGUGAAACCAGGGUCACCUCACCAACUACCCACCGCGGCCUGGGCCUGCGGUGGAUUUGGGAUGAAACCCUAGGAAUAGCCUUAUAUCAUCGGGUCCGUGCUGAGGAUGGGGCCCUGCCUCUUCCCUGUGGAAGGAUACGCUAGUGUGGUCCCCCCUUCCUUCCCUCACUCACCACACUGGAGUUCUCCUGAUACUGUUGCCCCCACCCCGGCUGCUCCCAAGAGAGGACAGAGGUCAAAGACUUGACUCAGCUCCCACAGUUCAUCCCAUUCUACCCUCCAUCCCUCCAGAAGCCACAGAGGACACCUUUCCUGGACCUGGGGAGUUGCUCGGCUCUCUGUCUUUGAGUCAGAGGCCCUGUGAGCUCCCCCAUCCUCAGGGACAGAGACCAGGGCCGUAGAGACCUUGGCACAGACAGGUUAGGGAAGCUGCAGCACUGGGAGCGGUCUUGCUCUGGAAAUCAGGUGACUUGCUGGAAGAGGUCCUGGGAGACCCCAGAUGGGCCCUGUCCACUGCGGGGAACAGCCUUCUGGGCAGGACCAGAGACUCGGCAAGUUCAAGGGCUCAGUGAGGCUGGCUCUGGGGCCCCCUGCCUUUGUUUGGUCUUCCCUACAUCCUGCACGUAUAGGGGGCAGAUGAGAGAGGCCUUGCCUCCCAUGGCCAAUGGCUGAUCGUCAGAGUGGAACCAACGGUGGUCAGCGAGGGCUGUAAGGGGAGAGGGUGCCCAGAGUUCAGUAGAGAGCCCUGUAACAAGGGCCUUUGCCACCCCAGAGCAGGGAAGGAGGUGCUCCAGGUUUGGGGAGGAUAAGGGUAAGAGGUGGUGACGCAUGCCGUGUCCCCUGGGGGCUCUGGAGAGUUGUGAGGGGCCUUGAAGGCCUGGCUCCCUCCCCACAAACCCCUCCCCUGGAACCUCCAGGACUCACUCAGGGACCCCUUCCCUCCCUCAGCCUGCUCCCAGGGGCCCUUUCCACCCUCCCUGGGAAGCCCCCUUGUGCUCCCUUUGGCCGCAUCCCAGCUGGGCUGUUCUCCGGACACUUGAGGACCCGAGGCUCUGCCUGUGGGAAGGAGGCCGGGCCGCCAAGCAGCCACCAUUGUCUCUGUUCAGCCAAGUGUGAGAGCCGGCUGCCUGCCAAAAGGGGCCUCUCGCCACCCGCCUGCUGGCUGACGCAUGCACGGCCUCUCCAGCCUUCCUGCCGCCCUGCCCUCCUCUUCGUGCCUGUAACCAACACGGGGGCCUGCAACUCCACCAGGUGGGGCUGGCACUUGAGGGUCACCAACAAGUGUCUGUCCAUGGCUGGGCCACGCACCCAGUGGGUACACAAUAAAUACAGGCCAGUAAAGAAGGAGGUGUGUGCCAGUGAGGGGGUUGGGAGGGGCAGGCAGCUGUGGGCAGCUGAGGCCACCGUCUGGCACCUGCCUGAGGGUGGCAGGCUGGGUUUCCUUUGCCGUGUGUGUGCAUGUGCGUGUCUGUGUGUGUGGGUCUGUGUGUGCAUGUAUGUAUCUGUGUGCGUGUGCAUGUCUGUGAAUGUGUAGCAUGCUAAUCGUGUGCAGGAGUCACAUAGGCUGUCACAGCGGGAGGGGACCUCAGAAUCAUUGAUUCAUCCACUCAUGGGUUCAUUCUUUCACUUCUCCAAUAAUAUUAAGUACCUUUAUGGGCCAGUACUGUGAGAUUCAGGCAUGAAUCAAGCAUGUCCCUGGCCUCUAGGAGAGGACCAUCCUGUUCUCUGGCGCCCAACUGACAGUAUAGAGUGGCACUGGAGACAUUUGCAUCCUACGCCCAGGAAUCUGGAUCCAGUAGGUCUGGGUCAGAGGCACCAACGGGAGUUUUUAAGGCUCCAUGGGCCACUCUGAUGGGCAGAGGCCAAUUGUCUCAUUUGAUUGGGGUGGUAUACUAGCGCCGUGCGGACGUGACUUGGCCCACAAAUGAUGCUUACAGGCUGAACCGCUGUGAGUGGGUUAUUUGACCUCACUGACCUGUAUCCUUAUUUCCAAAACCAGAAUAAAAGGCAGAGGUUUGUUUGCAUGC